Molecule: ribosomal RNA, 608 nt
Filed under: Carboxylicivirga sediminis
Lineage: Bacteria; Pseudomonadati; Bacteroidota; Bacteroidia; Marinilabiliales; Marinilabiliaceae
Description: bacterial SSU rRNA
Rfam family: Bacterial small subunit ribosomal RNA
Source: RNAcentral
AACAGGGAAGCUUGCUUCCGCUGACGACCGGCGCACGGGUGCGUAACGCGUAUGAAACCUACCUUAUACCGGGGGAUAGCCCGAAGAAAUUCGGAUUAAUACCGCAUAAUAUAAUGAAGUGGCAUCAUUUUGUUAUUAAAACUCCGGUGGUAUAAGAUGGUCAUGCGUGACAUUAGCUAGUUGGUGAGGUAACGGCUCACCAAGGCGACGAUGUCUAGGGGUUCUGAGAGGAAGGUCCCCCACACUGGUACUGAGACACGGACCAGACUCCUACGGGAGGCAGCAGUGAGGAAUAUUGGUCAAUGGACGCAAGCCUGAACCAGCCAUGUCGCGUGCAGGAAGACUGCCCUAUGGGUUGUAAACUGCUUUUAUAUGGGAAGAAUGUGAUCUACGUGUAGAUUUUCGACGGUACCAUAUGAAUAAGCACCGGCUAACUCCGUGCCAGCAGCCGCGGUAAUACGGAGGGUGCAAGCGUUAUCCGGAUUCAUUGGGUUUAAAGGGUGCGUAGGCGGAAUAGUAAGUCAGAGGUGAAAGUUUGCGGCUCAACCGUAAAAUUGCCUUUGAUACUGUUAUUCUUGAGUACAUUUGAGGUAGGCGGAAUGUGGCGU